RNAcentral lists this ribosomal RNA (206 nucleotides) under uncultured bacterium. RNAcentral describes it as "partial 16S ribosomal RNA". It matches the Rfam family "Bacterial small subunit ribosomal RNA", at positions 568 to 774 of the family's 1533-position model. The record is from RNAcentral.
CGCGUAGGCGGCCACCUAAGUCAGACGUGAAAUCCCUCGGCUCAACCGGGGAACUGCGUCUGAUACUGGGUGGCUUGAAUUCGGGAGAGGGAUGCGGAAUUCCAGGUGUAGCGGUGAAAUGCGUAGAUAUCUGGAGGAACACCGGUGGCGAAGGCGGCAUCCUGGACCGAGAUUGACGCUGAGGCGCGAAAGCCAGGGAGCAAACG